Molecule: ribosomal RNA, 250 nt
Filed under: uncultured bacterium
Lineage: Bacteria
Description: partial 16S ribosomal RNA
Rfam family: Bacterial small subunit ribosomal RNA
Source: RNAcentral
UACAGAGGGUGCAAGCGUUGUUCGGAAUUAUUGGGCGUAAAGCGCGUGUAGGCGGUGGCGCUUGUCGGGUGUGAAAGCCCUCGGCUUAACCGAGGAAGUGCGCCCGAAACUGCGUCGCUAGAGUGCCGGAGAGGGUGGCGGAAUUCCGGGUGUAGAGGUGAAAUUCGUAGAUAUCCGGAGGAACACCAGUGGCGAAGGCGGCCACCUGGACGGACACUGACGCUGAGACGCGAAAGCGUGGGGAGCAAAC